This 1837-nucleotide long non-coding RNA is filed under the name Homo sapiens (human). RNAcentral describes it as "HSALNT0263406". The record is from RNAcentral. Lineage: Eukaryota; Metazoa; Chordata; Mammalia; Primates; Hominidae.
GCAUUAUUGGCAGACACCUUGAUUGCAGCCUUAAAAGAGACCUUAAACCAAGAUCACUCAACCUAAACUAUGUCUAGAAUCCUGACUCACAGACACUGGGAGACACUGUCAUGCACUCCUAUAUCUCCACUCUAACUAGAGACUUCUUACUAAGAAGGAGGCAAAGCCAUAAACCCAAAGGGUUCCGAGAAGAGUCUACCUGGGUUCCAGUACCCAUAACCUGGAAGACAAGCCCAUUAACCUUUCAGAGGCUCAACUUCCUCAUCUGAUAAGGUAGGGUGUGGACCAUGUGGUGGAUGAACAUAUUUUGUUUUCAACCUGCUUAGCAUUUGUUCCAUUGGGUUGAUUGGUUAUCUCCCAUGGACCUCCUCUCCCUAGCAACAACGAAUAAAAUGUUGACAACAUGGCAUACAAAAGGCUAAUGUGGAUAGUUCCCUAGAACUCAUUUGUGAAGGUUGGUAGGAAGAAGCUGUCUUUCCACCUUGGUUGUAAGAUGGGGGAAUGAAUAUCAACAUUUUCUGCAUUUAUUUUCGCUAUCAUAUACUGAAGGUUUAUAUGCAGCAGGAAAGAUUAAAGCCAUGAAGAGAUGAGAGAAUUUCAGAGAGCCACAGUCUUGGUAACAUUAAGCCCUAAAUCCAAUCCUUUAGUCCCUGGUUCCAAAAGUUCUGCCUUGAAUACUGUGAGGAACCCAGAAUCCUCUGCAGGUACAGAAUCAAUCAACUCAUAUUUUUGGUUGAAAUUAAUGCAUUUGAUCUUCUUUCUUGUAAGUAAAUGUUCUUCACUAAUAUAGAACAUACUGGACUGGGCCCAGACCAACCCCACCUCUUUAUUCCCUACUAUGUACACUCCUGAAAUCUCCCUGAGUUAGGUUCCUCAUCUGUACAGUGAGUACAAGCAUCCAGCAAUUCAAAUGUUGCUGUGUAGAUAAUAUAGAUGAAAUGUUUGGAAUAUAGUAGAUGCCCAAUAAAUGUUAGCAUUAUUGUAUUACCAAUUUAAUAAUUUCUCAGGCUGGAUAUUGCCCAAAUUUCACAGGGCACCACAAGUAGCAAAACACUAAGAAAAAGGCUUUGGAUGCAGGGAAACAUAGAUUUGUACUUGCAGUUCAACACACUACAACACACUGUGGGAUGUGCGACUUUUAUCAUUCUUGUAGCCCUUAGGACAUUGUUGAUUUAAGCAAAUUGGCUUAGCAAGGAGAUGUUUUCUUUCACAUUAUUAGAGGUCCAGAGGUGAGAUUGGAACAAGGAGCAGUAUGGUUGUGCAGAUUGUCAAUCCACACUUGUUACAUAUCUGCAUUCAUCUAGACUUUUUCUCAACCUUAUUCCCCUCAUGGUCAUAAGAUGCCUGCUUAAAGCACCUGGAGCAACACAGUUGCUUGUUUCCAGCCAACAAAGGGAAGAAUUACUUUAGAUUACCAGAUUUUUCUGCAAGCCUGUCUUUUUCUCUGAUAGACCCAAACUGGCCAAGUUCAGCCCAUAUUUGAGUAAACCUCUAGCAGGGAACAUGGAAUUAUCCUAGUUGGCUUAGGUUAGUCAUGGGGGUGGAUUAAAUAUUGAGAAAUCAACCAAAAUAGCUCUUAUCACUCAUCACUCAACCUUUUCAAGUCUUUUUUUCUUCCUGUAAAAUACCUAACUCACAGCUUGCUGAGAGAAUUAAAAAGAUCAAAUGUAUGUUGUACCUUCAAUAAUAUUUGGCACAUAGCAAUUAUUGAAUGAAUAGAAGACAUAACUGCUGAGAUGAUAUUAUACACCAGGGGGUAUGGGGUAUAGGAGACAUACUCACCAGUAACAAACACCUGAGUGCCCCGACCUGAUUGGUACUCCUUGAUAGCUCUUCC